CUAGCCCUAAACGAUGUAGACUUGGCGUCGGUGGUUUAAACGCCAUCGGUGUCGAAGCUAACGCGAUAAGUCUACCGCCUGGGGACUACGGCCGCAAGGUUAAAACUCAAAGGAAUUGACGGGUCCCCGCACAAGCAGCGGAGCGUGUGGUUUAAUUCGUUGCUACACGAAGAACCUUACCUGGGUUUGACAUAGGGGUGGUAGGGAAGCGAAAGCGGACCGACCCUUCGGGGAGCCUCUACAGGUGU
RNAcentral lists this ribosomal RNA (248 nucleotides) under uncultured Anaerolineaceae bacterium. RNAcentral describes it as "partial 16S ribosomal RNA". It matches the Rfam family "Bacterial small subunit ribosomal RNA", at positions 796 to 1041 of the family's 1533-position model. The record is from RNAcentral. Lineage: Bacteria; Bacillati; Chloroflexota; Anaerolineae; Anaerolineales; Anaerolineaceae.